RNAcentral lists this ribosomal RNA (301 nucleotides) under uncultured bacterium. Its description in RNAcentral is "partial 16S ribosomal RNA". It matches the Rfam family "Bacterial small subunit ribosomal RNA", at positions 509 to 807 of the family's 1533-position model. The record is from RNAcentral.
CAGUAGCCGCGGUAAUACGAAGGGUGCAAGCGUUACUCGGAAUUACUGGGCGUAAAGCGUGCGUAGGUGGUGGUUUAAGUCCGUUGUGAAAGCCCUGGGCUCAACCUGGGAAUUGCAGUGGAUACUGGGUCACUAGAGUGUGGUAGAGGAUAGUGGAAUUUCCGGUGUAGCAGUGAAAUGCGUAGAGAUCGGAAGGAACAUCUGUGGCGAAGGCGACUAUCUGGGCCAACACUGACAAUGAGGCACGAAAGCGUGGGGAGCAAACAGGAUUAGAUACCCCGGUAGUCCCUGUCUCUUAUAC